AUAUUAAAUACAGAUGUAUUCAAUAUUUUUCAAUAUUUUCUGCUACUAGGGAAGUUUCUUUGAAAAUGUAAAACUAUUCUACUACAAAUUUCAUAAAUGUCAAAGAAACAGUCUUCAUCUAUUCACCAAACUACAUAGUCUAAAGAAAAAUACCAGAUUUAUACACAAUCACAAUAUAAUUGGAUAUAUUCAAAAUGAUGUAAGAAAUCAUUAUUUAUCCAUUAAUAAAAAGAAGAAAUAAAUAGUCAAAUUAAUUCUAAUUACACCCAUACUUGGAAUUAUAAUGGAAUACAGAAUUGUACAGUUGUAAAUAUUUUUUGUUUUCUAAAAUUGAAGUGAUAGAAACUGUAACAUUAGAUAAUAUUAUAAACUUAUUUGUAAACUUGAGUUUAGACCAAGUGAAAAAUAAUCCUGUACCUGUUAAUGUGGUAACAAAGUAUAAAGAAAAGUGUCAAGUAAAUAAUUUUAUUUUUGGAGAUAAUUCAUAGAAAGCUACAUAGCUAAAUUCUGAAGAUGUUUCAUGCAAAAUAUGUUCUGUACAGUAGAAGAGUACCGAAGUUAUUGUGAUUUAUUAUACUGACGAUGUGAAUAGAGGUAAAGUAAUAAGGAAAGAAAUGGAAUUGCUUCGUGAAGAAACAUAUCUACAGACAAAUCAUAAUAAUCUUGUUCAGAUAACUCUGACAAAUAAAAAUAUCAUUUCUUCUGUGAAUAAUUAUCAAUCAUUCAAAGUUAGGAUUUCGCCUUCUAAUACAACGUAGAAAUUCUUCAUACAUUGGAGCAACAGUGUCCAUAUUAGCAACAGUGAAAACAUACCUUUUUUCCAGUGCUAUGUAA
Long non-coding RNA from Polistes dominula (European paper wasp), 834 nucleotides. Lineage: Eukaryota; Metazoa; Arthropoda; Insecta; Hymenoptera; Vespidae. The record is from RefSeq and is a predicted model, not a curated record.